This 1673-nucleotide long non-coding RNA is filed under the name Setaria italica (foxtail millet). RNAcentral's name for it is "long non-coding RNA (SITA_LNC005971)". Lineage: Eukaryota; Viridiplantae; Streptophyta; Magnoliopsida; Poales; Poaceae. The record is from RNAcentral.
CCUAACUUGCUCCUCCCAAUAUCCCAUUAUCUAGUGUAUGUAUAUAUAAAUCAUAUUCUUAAUUAGCACAAUGAAUUAAUCAUUUCAGUAAACAUGAUGGAAAAACUUUGAUACUUAGCACAAAAUUGACAUGACACAGGCUAAGACAUAUAUAGUACUACAGACUAAGACAUAAAUGAGCACGUAGGUCCGGAUAAUCAGCAGGUAUUAACAGGCACGAAAUUGAUUGGCCUUUUAUUCAACUGAAUCUAGUGCAGGCAGACAUGCAUUACUCAAGAAAUAUUGUAUACAGUUCUGAACGAAGUACCACAGGGUAGAAAGAACAUGUCCGCAUGCCUCACUACACAUCCAUGCUACUGUUCUUUGAUGUUCUACUAUGAUGAACAAGCACCAGUAGCAUCAGCUAGACAAAAAAAAAUGAAGAGAAACACAGGAGUAGCAAGCACACCUGGGGAUCUUGAUGACCUGACGUUGAAGUGGUACACAGUCGAACAAGAUCCUAAGUCUGGAGCGGGAGAUCAACCUGGGAAAGGAGCACGUUGCGCCCACACCAGGAUUAGCAGCCUCAAAUCGUCAUCAGUUCGUGGCCGCAACUAUUCUUCACGAGAUCUACAAGAAAUGUGAGGGGAGAAGAGGAGAAACCCUGACGGGUCAGCAAGAUAUAGGCCCUGUUUGUAUACGCUUUUCUGGAACUCGCUUAUCUGACAAGCAAGCUUAUCUGAUAAGCCUGCUGCCUGGAGAAUCUGCUGUCUGAAUAAGCAGGGUGUUUGGCAAUCCUGAUUAUUUUGUGUCGAUUGUCUGUCCAAGUUGGUAAAUUGACCUGAAUGCCCCUAAGACUGAUAAUAGCUCAUUUUUGCUGCUUGCUAUGCUCUAGAUUACACCGUAUGCUAUUCAUCUGGUCAAGAGGCUAUAGCCCCCUUCAGAUUAGCUAGAGUUAACAGAAAGUUGCUAAACUACCCAAACUUGCCAAGUCCAAUUUCAACCAUCCAAACCGAGGCGGCUCUGGCGUCCGGCGGCGGGGGCGGCGCCCAGGCAGUAGGGGCGUCCGGCAGCGGGGCGGCACCCAGGCGGCAGGGGAGUCCGGCGGUGGGGGCGUCCGGCGGCGGGGCGGCGCCUAGGCGGCAGGAGAGUCCGGCGGCGGGGCCGGAUCCCAGGGGGCAGGAGCGUCGAGCGGCGGAGGCGACGCCCAGGCGGCCCGCGGCGGGGGCGUCCGGCGGCGGGGCGGCCCGCGGCGGGGGCCUGGCAGGGGCGGCCGGCGGAGGUAGGGAGGCAGGCCGGGCAACCCGAGUGGCGGCGGCGGGAUCUGCAGCGGCGGCGGUCGCCUGGAGGCGGCGUUGCCCGAGGGUAGCCGGGGGAAAAAUGCUCCGCUUGCCCCAGAAGCGUCUCCAGACCCGCGUAGGAGAUAAGCUGGGUCCUAGUUCAAUUCCAGAUUUUCCACUAAGCGGCUUACGUGACAAGCGGGGAAUAAGCAAGGCAUUUGGGUGGGUUUAUCGCUUAUUUUCACCAAUAAGCGGGAAAUAAGCGACUCCAAAUAGGCCCAUAGGCGGAGGCGGACUCACCUGAUGCGGCGCCGGAGUUGGAGGCGGGUGGUGGCAGCGCAGUCGGCGAUGGAGGAGACGCAGCAGAAGCGAUGGCGGAGGGGAAGAUCUGGUGGUGGCAGCGUUAUUGCUCGC